CGGCCUUGGGGGGCGGCCUACACAUGCAAGUCGAGCGGUAGCACAAGAGAGCUUGCUCUCUGGGUGACGAGCGGCGGACGGGUGAGUAAUGUCUGGGAAACUGCCUGAUGGAGGGGGAUAACUACUGGAAACGGUAGCUAAUACCGCAUGACGUCUUCGGACCAAAGUGGGGGACCUUCGGGCCUCACGCCAUCAGAUGUGCCCAGAUGGGAUUAGCUAGUAGGUGGGGUAAUGGCUCACCUAGGCGACGAUCUCUAGCUGGUCUGAGAGGAUGACCAGCCACACUGGAACUGAGACACGGUCCAGACUCCUACGGGAGGCAGCAGUGGGGAAUAUUGCACAAUGGGCGCAAGCCUGAUGCAGCCAUGCCGCGUGUAUGAAGAAGGCCUUCGGGUUGUAAAGUACUUUCAGCGAGGAGGAAGGCAUUAAGGUUAAUAACCUUGGUGAUUGACGUUACUCGCAGAAGAAGCACCGGCUAACUCCGUGCCAGCAGCCGCGGUAAUACGGAGGGUGCAAGCGUUAAUCGGAAUUACUGGGCGUAAAGCGCACGCAGGCGGUUUGUUAAGUCAGAUGUGAAAUCCCCGAGCUUAACUUGGGAACUGCAUUUGAAACUGGCAAGCUAGAGUCUUGUAGAGGGGGGUAGAACUCCAUGGGGUA
This 657-nucleotide ribosomal RNA is filed under the name Hafnia paralvei. RNAcentral's name for it is "bacterial SSU rRNA". It matches the Rfam family "Bacterial small subunit ribosomal RNA", at positions 31 to 677 of the family's 1533-position model. Lineage: Bacteria; Pseudomonadati; Pseudomonadota; Gammaproteobacteria; Enterobacterales; Hafniaceae. The record is from RNAcentral.